AGAGUCCAUGGACGAAAUGCCUCACAGUUGGACUUUACAACAUAGCAAGGAGGUGACCAAGCAGACAAAUGGUUACGACUGUGAAGUCCAUAUGUGCCAAAAUGCUGCGGAUGUUGCGUAUGCCUUGCCGUUUUCAUGUUCUACGAACAAGGUUCAUGCCAUCCGGAAGGCGAUGACAUUUGAGAUACAUACUGGAGCAUUGAUGCCCAGAGAAUAAUGCGAACAGUUUUGUAGAUCACGCACUAUUUUGACCAUAGAUCAAGUGAUGACAUAUAUUUGUUCAAACUGAUUGAGACAUUUUGAUGCAUGCUAAAAAAUCAUCAAUAUUAUUUGUGUAUCAAGGCAGAGACCUGUUGUUAUACGUUAUGCAUUCAUGUUUGCCUCAAAGGGUCUCCCUGUUGUGUUAAGUUUGUAAAUAUUUGUUUCUUGCCCAAACUCUGUUUAAUUGGCCACUGAAUUAAAAAAAUCGUGUUUGUAUUACUAUGCUUUUUAAAGCCAGUAAAAAGGACGAUAUAAUUAUUGAGUGUCUUUACUGAACUUAAUUUUUAGGUCACCUGAGCACAACGUGCUCAUAGUGAGCUUUUGUGAUCGCCUUUUGUCCGUCGUGUGUUGUGCGCCGUCAACAUUUGCCGUGUUAACUAACUCUUUAGACGCCACAUUUAUUGUCCAAUCUUCGUGAAAUUUGGUGAGAAGAUUGGUCUCAAUGGAAUCCCGUAAGAGUUCGAAAAUGGUUACCUUUGCUUGAAAAACUUGGCUGCCAAGGGUCGGGGGAUUUUUCCUUAUAAGGCUUUAGUAAAAUUUUGUUAACACUCUAGAGGCGACAUUUAUUGUCUGAUCUUCAUGGAACUUGGUCAGACGAUCCAUCCCAAUAAUAUCUUAGACGAGUUUGGAAAUGAUGCUGUUUAUUGAAAAACAUGGCCGCCUUGGGGCGGGGAAUUUUUUCUUAUAUGGCUAUAGUAAAACCUUGUUAAUACUCUUG
Dreissena polymorpha is the source of this 979-nucleotide long non-coding RNA. RefSeq lists it as uncharacterized. Lineage: Eukaryota; Metazoa; Mollusca; Bivalvia; Myida; Dreissenidae. The record is from RefSeq and is a predicted model, not a curated record. The transcript has 3 exons.